This 239-nucleotide long non-coding RNA is filed under the name Daucus carota (carrot). RNAcentral's name for it is "long non-coding RNA (DCAR_LNC002720)". Lineage: Eukaryota; Viridiplantae; Streptophyta; Magnoliopsida; Apiales; Apiaceae. The record is from RNAcentral.
UUCGGGUAGAGGUUUAGGCUCGAUUAAGUGUAAAAUUAAACGAGCCGCUCGCCCGACUCGCUAAAACCGGCUCGUUUAGCUAAACGAGCCGGCUCGACUCGACUCGUGAAAUUAAACGAGUCGAGUUCGGGCAGGGAUUUAGACUCGAUUAAUUAAACGAGCCGGCUCGGCUCGAUUAACUUCGGCUCGAAUUACGCCCGGCUCGAAACUCGGCUCGCUCGGCCCGAAUUACACCCCUA